RNAcentral lists this long non-coding RNA (976 nucleotides) under Mus spicilegus (steppe mouse). RNAcentral's name for it is "lncRNA (ENSMSIG00000019805.1)". The record is from RNAcentral. Lineage: Eukaryota; Metazoa; Chordata; Mammalia; Rodentia; Muridae.
GGAAAGAGAGGCCCAUUGGACUUGCAAACUUUAUAUGCCUCAGUACAGGGGAACGCCAGGGCCAAGAAGUGGGAGUGGGUAGGUAGGGGAGUUGGUGGGGAGAGUAUGGAGGACUAUUGGAAAUGUAAAUGAAGAAAAUACCUAAUUAAAAAAAAUAAAAGAAAUUUAAAAAAAGAAGAAAGAAAAAAGAAAUCAAGUCAAACACUUUUUUCGGGGGACUGGAAAGGACAGUCUUGGUAGGAGAGUAGUGGUGUCUAGAAUGGGAACAGGAGAAGUAAGUAAAAUAAGACUUUAAAAAAUAUUAAAUUGCUUGGGAAUGGAGAAAUUGGCUCAGUUGUUAAGUGCUAGAGCCCUUGCUGCUAUUGUAUAGGGCCUAAGUUCCAUUCCCAGCAUCCAUUUGAGUAACUCACAACUACAUGUUAAUCUAGCUCCAGGGAAUCCAGCAUGCUGUUCUGGCCUCCAGGGGCACUUACAAACACACACACACACACACACACACACACACACACACACACACACACAGAUGUAUGUGUGUAUAAAAAAUAAAAUCUCUAAAUGAAAUUCUGUUGUUUACAGGAAGAAAAUGACAACCGAUUUUAUAUUUUGCAAUGACAGCAAAGCAGAGUUACCCUCUCUGCUCUCUGAUAGCACCAUCUUCCAUGCAAACUGCACUCAAACCCGUGUCAAGAUCUGCUUUCUGGGAAUCAAACUCAAGAUAUCUAGUUGAGCAUCUGUAACUUUGUUAUUAGCUAUCUUCAAAUUAAGGAUUGUCAUGUUUUCCUGGUGAGUUGACCCUUUAGUCAUAAUUGAGGCUUCCAUUUUUCCCUCUACUGUAUUAAUUUAUCCAAUGUCAAUGUUGAGACCUGAAUUUCCUUUUGACUAUCUGUGGGUUAUGUCUGGUGCCAUACUUUUACUUUUAACUUAUCUGGACUUCUGAGUACUUGUAUUUACAUUGCCUUAGAAAGCAUCAUUGAUC